GACGAACGCUGGCGGCGUGCUUAACACAUGCAAGUCGAGCGGUAAGGCCCUUUCGGGGGUACGACGAGCGGCGAACGGGUGAGUAACACGUGGGUGACCUGCCCUCAGCUCUGGGAUAAGCCUGGGAAACCGGGUCUAAUACUGGAUAUGACUCCAUGACGCAUGUUGUGGGGUGGAAAGCCUUGUGCGGCUGAGGAUGGGCCCGCGGCCUAUCAGCUUGUUGGUGGGGUGANGGCCUACCAAGGCGACGACGGGUAGCCGGCCUGAGAGGGCGACCGGCCACACUGGGACUGAGACACGGCCCAGACUCCUACGGGAGGCAGCAGUGGGGAAUCUUGCGCAAUGGGCGAAAGCCUGACGCAGCGACGCCGCGUGAGGGAUGACGGCCCUCGGGUUGUAAACCUCUUUCAGCUCCGACGAAGCGAGAGUGACGGUAGGAGCAGAAGAAGCACCGGCCAACUACGUGCCAGCACGCCGCC
This 479-nucleotide ribosomal RNA is filed under the name uncultured bacterium. Its description in RNAcentral is "bacterial SSU rRNA". It matches the Rfam family "Bacterial small subunit ribosomal RNA", at positions 28 to 519 of the family's 1533-position model. The record is from RNAcentral.